GGAAGCGUGGCCGAGUGGUUGAAGGCGCACGACUCGAAAUCGUGUGGGCGGGUGACCGUCUCGAAGGUUCGAAUCCUUUCGCUUCCGCCA
This 90-nucleotide transfer RNA is filed under the name Candidatus Saccharimonadota bacterium. RNAcentral describes it as "tRNA-Ser". It matches the Rfam family "tRNA". From Rfam's summary of the family: Transfer RNA (tRNA) molecules are approximately 80 nucleotides in length. Lineage: Bacteria; Candidatus Saccharimonadota. RNAcentral also lists the same sequence under 1 other name. The record is from RNAcentral.